GACGAACGCUGGCGGCGUGCUUAACACAUGCAAGUCGAACGCUGAAGCUUGGUGCUUGCACUGGGUGGAUGAGUGGCGAACGGGUGAGUAAUACGUGAGUAACCUGCCCUUGACUCUGGGAUAAGCCUGGGAAACUGGGUCUAAUACUGGAUACGACAUGUCACCGCAUGGUGGUGUGUGGAAAGGGUUUUACUGGUUUUGGAUGGGCUCACGGCCUAUCAGCUUGUUGGUGGGGUAAUGGCUCACCAAGGCGACGACGGGUAGCCGGCCUGAGAGGGUGACCGGCCACACUGGGACUGAGACACGGCCCAGACUCCUACGGGAGGCAGCAGUGGGGAAUAUUGCACAAUGGGCGGAAGCCUGAUGCAGCGACGCCGCGUGAGGGAUGACGGCCUUCGGGUUGUAAACCUCUUUCAGCACGGAAGAAGCGAAAGUGACGGUACGUGCAGAAGAAGCGCUGGCUAACUACGUG
This 472-nucleotide ribosomal RNA is filed under the name uncultured bacterium. Its description in RNAcentral is "partial 16S ribosomal RNA". It matches the Rfam family "Bacterial small subunit ribosomal RNA", at positions 28 to 507 of the family's 1533-position model. The record is from RNAcentral.